UCCGAUUUUAUUCAUACUACAUAUAUUGCAUAAGAAUUAGGCUGAGGCUGUGUUUAGGAACACACACACACACACACACACACACACACACACACACACAAGUCCUAUGUGUCAACAAUUAAAGAAAAAAGAAAACAGACACCAUGAAUUUGAAAGGGAGCAAGGGGCAUAAUACAUUGAUUGGAGGGUUUGGAAGGAGGAAGGAAAGGAGUGGGAGAUGAUGUAAUUGCUUUAUAAUCUCAAAAGAUAAAAAGAAACUUUUUUUAAAAAUCAGGUUGAGGGGUUGGGGAUUUAGCUCAGUGGUAGAGCGCUUGCCUAGGAAGUGCAAGGCCCUGGGUUCGGUCCCCAGCUCCGGAAAAAAAAAAAAAAAGAACCAAAAAAAAAAAAAUCAGGUUGAAAGAAAGGUGUGUUUGUUUGCUUGUUUCCUGAGACAGGGUCUCGCUAUGUAGGCCAGAUGGCCUGGAAUUUGCUAUGUAGACCAGGUUGGCCUUGAAUUCCAAGUGCUAGUAUUAAAGGUUUGUGCUACCUGGGUUUAACUAUCUUUUUUUUUUUUUUCUUUUCUUUUUUUCGGAGCUGGGGACUGAACCCAGGGCCUUGCGCUUCCUAGGCAAGCGCUGUACCACUGAGCUAAAUCCCCAACCCCCCCCCUUUUUUUUUUAAAGAUUUAUUUAUUUAUAAGUACACUGUAGCUGUCUUCAGACACACCAGAAGAGGGCAUCAGAUCUCAUUACAGAUGGUUGUGAGCCACCAUGUGGUUGCUGGGAUUUGAACUCAGGACCUCUGGAAGAGCGGUCAGUGCCCUUAACCGCUGAGCCAUCUCUCACAGCCCUCUUUUUUUUUUUUUUUUUUUUUUUAAUGUAUGUGUGUUUUCUCCUUCUACCCAAGGAUCCAACAGUCUUCAAUCCCUCACUUCUGGGGUCAUAGAUGUUCACGAGAGCAAGCUGGCAUUUCAGACAGGUUCUGGGAUCAGAACUCGGGUCUUUAAGCAGAUACUGUGAAUCUUGAUGAGCAAGAGGGGGAGCCCUCUGGCCAACAGAGAAAAGCAGAGGGACAGCCUGGAAUUGGGAAUGAGGCAGCACAAAUCUACAGCCCUCCUUCCACUGGCCGGGGAACUGUAUUUCAUGGCCCGUCUCCUUUGGCAAUCACCCAGUUCCCUCAAGACAAGGGAGUUCAUCCUCACUUAAGAGGAUCUGCAGAGCCAAGGCUAAGGAUUGUCAAGGCUUGGAGUAAGCCCGGAACACAGAGGGCUCUAAGCAGGGGCAGGGUGGUGUUUUCAGCCCAGGGCUCCAGCUUGGCUGGGCAGUAUCUCACAGAGCCUCUCUGAUGGCCCAAGGGAGAUGUGUGGAAAGAGACAGAGAAGAGAGCCAAAGAGAAGGAGAUUCCGAGGCAGUGAGCAACUGCUGGGUCAAGAGGUUGUGUCCCACCAUGAAAGAGGAAGGAAGGCACACUACACCGAGUAAGAAUAGCAUCCUGAUUAGAGGAGGGCUUCCCUUGAGGUGUGCAGAGACUAGCAGAAUUGUGCAGGUUAGACAAAGCCAAGCCACACACAGACAGGGAUUGAUUCCUGGAUGUUCAGUGCUGAGGCUUUGGGUUACCCCAGUAUCGCCUCACCCCCACAGGCCCCUGGUGCUUGGUUAAUAUCCUCCCUCAGGCUGAGACAGACUCACCCUGCCUUUCAUCCUGCAGGCUUAUCUACCUAACCUUGGUGGGCAUCGUGUGUGUGUGUGUGUGUGUGUGUGUGUGUGUGUGUGUGUGUGUGUGUGUGUGUGUUUUGUCAUUCCAGGGGCAUGCCUGUCUGCAGGUGUCUCAGUGGGUUGGAGAGAGACAGUCAUGACAUUUUGACAUUUUUAUACUUUCCCCCAAUCUCCAACCCUCCGUCCUUUCAGCCCUAAGCAACCGCUGAUCUAAUUUGACUGUAGACAUUUCUCUAUUCUGUAAGUGUGUGAAAUUGCAGCUGCCUGUGGUUUUACACUUUCGAUCUCAGGACUUUAGAGGUGGAGGCAGGAGGAUCAGGAGCUCACGGUCAUCUAUCGUUACUUGUUGAGGUAGAGGCUAGCCUGGACUACUUGAGGCCCUGUCUCAAAAAUGAAUUAAUAAAACGCCAAGGCCAGCAAGAUGGUUCACUAAGUAAGUUGCUUGCCGCCAAACCUCAUAACUGACUUGUGCAAAUUGUUCUCUCGCCUUCAUGUGAGUGCACACCCUGCCUUUCCCCAAAAAAUAAUCGAGUGAGUGAAUACGAAUUAAAUUUAAAGAAUAUAAAACAGAGUCAGAUGUGAUGGGGCAAGGCCUUUAAGACUCAGGAAGCAGAGGCAGGCAGAUCUCUGAGUUCAAGGACAUCGUGGUCUACAGAGUGAGUCCAGAACUGCCAAGGUUACACAGAGAAACCCGGUCUUGAAAAAAAAUUGUAUAUGUGUAUGCGUAUGUAUACUGUAUAAUGCAUAUGUAUAUAAUGUAUAUGUAUGCAUGCAAAAUGUAUAUUUAAAUAAUGUACAUGUAUAUAUAAAAUAAAAAAAAUACACGUGGGUAAGAGUGACAUUAUGUGUCUGUCUACUCCUUUGAGGCAGUAUCUCUCAUUAGUCUGGAAUUUAUCAGUUAAGCUACACUGGCUACUAGGGAACCCCAGGGAGCCCCCUAAGUCUACUUUCCUGAAAUCGCAUUUUCGUACACAAGCCACCACACCGAGCUUUUUAAAUAUUGGUGCUGGGGAGGGAUCAGACUCACGUCCUCAUCUUCCAAGACAAGCACUUUACUCACUGAGCCACCCACUCACCCAACCCCCAUCCCGUUUCUGUCCCAUUUCCGUUGGCCACACAAGAAUCGCUCAGAGUUCUUAGCGAGUGACGCAGACAAAUACAUAAUCUCAGAGUCUACAAAGGUGAGCCAGGUACUUUCCCGAGCCCGGGCUAUGAAUUGUGCUUGGCAAAGAAUCUCUCCCCACUUUGCAGCUGGGGAAACUGAGGGUGAAGAUCACCGAUCUGUGCCUUGAGGGGAUUCCACAAGAGCAACUGUUGCUAAGCCGCCCACACUGGGAGGGUGGAAGGUGGUAAAGAAGGUGUUGACACUCUUUAUUCUCCGGCCUCCCUUCCCUCCUGGGCGUUGGGAAUUAGAUGUUCAAACAGGACGAUGGGAAUGCUAACUGCAUCCAGUCUGGGUGACUCACUGACAGUACCCUCGACUGUGGGGAAGGUCCCAGCCUCGUGGGGGCCAAUGGCGCAGGCAGGAUCCGGAUGCGGCGCGCAUCGUUUUAUACACCAGCUGGGUUUCCAGCCGAGCUGCUUGCUUGAGCAUCCUCACAAUAUGGCGACUGGCUUUCCAAGAAGAAAGUGACCUAGCAAGAGGAGAAGGAGAGCCACGGUGUAUUUUAUUUCUGGUCAAAAGGGGAUAAAAGUCCAAGCGCCCACCGAUGGGCGGACGCAUAGAAUGUGGUACAUCGACACAGUGGGACAUUAUUUGGUCAUGGAACAGAACAGAAUAAAGUAUGGAUGAUGCUAUGACAUAAA
This is a long non-coding RNA of Rattus norvegicus (Norway rat), 3500 nucleotides long. RefSeq lists it as uncharacterized. NCBI's taxonomy places the organism in Eukaryota, Metazoa, Chordata, Mammalia, Rodentia, Muridae. The record is from RefSeq and is a predicted model, not a curated record.